AAGACAGCAUUCUGGGAUCGUUUGUAUAGCUGGUUCCUAGAGAAGUUUCUCUGGUCCUGCAGAGCGCAGCAAACCACAGGGAGGAGGCGCAGCGUUCCCUCCUGAGCAGGCACCUGUCCCUGUGGCAUCACCCCAAGUGCCAUUCGCCACUGAUGACCGUUCUUCUCUUCCUCCGAGAGAGCAAGAGGGGAGGAUGAGGGCUGAGAAGU
Small nucleolar RNA from Callithrix jacchus (white-tufted-ear marmoset), 209 nucleotides. Its record names the gene U3. It matches the Rfam family "Small nucleolar RNA U3". From Rfam's summary of the family: Small nucleolar RNAs (snoRNAs) are involved in the processing and modification of rRNA in the nucleolus. The record is from Ensembl. NCBI's taxonomy places the organism in Eukaryota, Metazoa, Chordata, Mammalia, Primates, Cebidae.